GGAAGGAAGGGGCCACGGCAGGUCAGUAUGCCCCGAAACCCUAGGGCUACACGCGGGCUGCAAUGGUAUUGACAAUGUGUUCCGAAUCCGAAAGGAGGAGGCAAUCAUCAAACAAUAUCUCAGUUAUGACUGAGGGCUGUAACUCGCCCUCACGAAUAUGGAAUCCCUAGUAACCGCGCGUCACUACCGCGCGGUGAAUACGUCCCUGCUCCUUGCACGAAUUCGCCG
This 228-nucleotide ribosomal RNA is filed under the name uncultured Thermoprotei archaeon. Its description in RNAcentral is "partial 16S ribosomal RNA". It matches the Rfam family "Archaeal small subunit ribosomal RNA", at positions 1124 to 1352 of the family's 1478-position model. The record is from RNAcentral. Lineage: Archaea; Thermoproteati; Thermoproteota; Thermoprotei.